UGCAUUGGCCUGGAAUCGAACCUGGGCCGCCCGCGUUGAAGGCGAGCAUUCUACCACUGAACCACCGAUGG
This 71-nucleotide transfer RNA is filed under the name Cordylochernes scorpioides. RNAcentral's name for it is "tRNA-OTHER". Lineage: Eukaryota; Metazoa; Arthropoda; Arachnida; Pseudoscorpiones; Chernetidae. The record is from RNAcentral.